AAAAUGCAGGAGACCAGGCUAGCCUUGUUCUCACUUGGUUUGGUUUUUCUGGCUGUGUAACUCAUUGUAAGGAAGAUGAGUUGCUGUGACAGUGUUCCUGGCUAACUAGCACAUCCUGCAGAGAAGCUGGAAUUUCAACCUGUUCUGAAAAUUGCUCUUUCUCCUCCCCUGAAAUCAGAUAUCUGAUGUCAAGUAAGAACAAGGAUCUUCAGGAUCAUGAAGUAGUUUAGACCUCAAGUGAAGUUAAAUUUUGGACAGCCUUUCACCACCCAGGAGCUGAAACAUCUUACACAGCAAAGCAGCUGCACUGGCCCCCAAAUCUGUCAUUGUAAUGUUCUUCAGCCCUGCCUCAGAAGACAACAUCCAACUUCCUUCAGUGCCUGCCUGCUGAGGCUGCUAAUUAAUUGAUGAUCUUCCUGCAGGAACAGCUCUGAGAGCCUUCAACUGCUCUUCCUCCAGAUGCUAACACUCAGCAGUCAGCCAAACCCCAAACCCAGGCACACACUGCUCAUCUGCAGUGAUGGGGAAGGGAAAAGGACUUGUCCAACCUGACCACAAACACAGAGGGAAAAUGCCAAAAAAAUUAAUUAAGAAGAGCCAGAAUCAAGAGGAAAAGAAGGAUAGAUCUUUCAAAUUGUAAGUUUAAUUGCCCUGAGGCCUGAUGAACAAUACUUCUCCCAUUCUAAGUGCAGCCCCUUAGCUCAGCAGUCACACAGUGCAUGGAUCACCCUCCGUGUGAUGCACCAUGGAAUGUAACACAUCCUCAUUGCCCAGGUCAUGUCCUAGAGAAGAGUUAAUUCCUGUGCUCGCAGAAGGACAGCAGAGAAAGGUCCUUUGAGGAGCUCAGCGGGGCUCUGAGAUGUUGCCCUGUGUGGCUUUGGGCAGCAGACCACAUCCUGAGGUGAGACACCAAGAAAAGCAUCAGUGGCUCAUCCUUAUUCCCUUGAACCUGCAGAAAUGAGCUGGAGGUAACAGAGCUGAGAGCAAAGGGAAACACAAAUAAAGGUCAAAAUUGGUUCUAACUCUGCCUUCUCCUUCCCUAAUGCAUGGAGAUAAGGGAAUAAAGAUAUGUAAAUUUCUGCUUUGCCAUCUGCUUGGAGGUUGUGUUUUAGGGCAGGCCAGCUGCCUUCACUGUAUUCUGGAGCAACGACAGUGGAUGUCACAUUGAAAAUGCUGCUGCAAUUAAUCCUGCUGUGUUCAGAAUCCUUGAUUACACAUCUGCUUCUGUGUAAGAGCAGGUCUGGCUGAAAGUGAGACUUCUCUAAAACUGAUGAAAACCUGGUACAGCAGCCAUUGCUACAGACAUACUGUUCUCUUCCUGCUGGUCACAUUGGACAUGGCAACCCGGUGACACUUCCUCUUCCUCUGGAGGAUCCUUGCUCAGAUUGUUAAGGAGGGAAGGGAGGUCCUCAGACAGACAGCUGUAAUUCAGGGUUCCCAAUGGUGUUUUCCAGCCCCCUCCUUGACCCCUCUCAAGAGGCAAACAGAUGAAAAAAAGGGUUUUCCUUGCUAAAUCCGACUCUGAAUUCCCAGAGUAGUUCUCACUGCUUCAGAAACCCCUGUCCCAUCUCCCACAGAACGGAAAAGUUGCAAAUCAUCAUGUUCAAUCCCAUGGCUUCCAGCUGCAUCUUCCAGCCUUGCACUGACAAAUACUGAAUCAGGAGAAGCAAAGGAAGUGCAGGAACAGCUACACAAGGCAGCUGAAGCACUGAAGAUGCUGUAGGGUGUCCUAGGAGGACUCUUAGUGAGGUUUUGUCUCAGUUUCAGGACUUCAGCAGAUGUCAGCAGAGUAAAAUUUUACCACAUAAAAUUUUUUGAGAAGCCAGGAAUAUAAGAGGAAGGGACUCAGACCAGGGAGUCAAACUGCAGAAUCCAAGGCAGAUUUCCUGAUCUGGGGGUAUCCUUCCCUCAGACCUAAGGUCCCUGCUGACCUAAGAGCCUCUAACCCCAGCACCCAACACAGGAGAGCUGCUGGUGGAGCUUCAACCUGCACAGCACAGACAGCACUGGGUACGGCCUUGCCAUAAUCACAGCCCAGAGCCGAUUCAGUCUGUGCAGCUGGGAGAGCCCCCCGUGCUCUCCCAGCACAGAUUUAGUGAACAGAUGCAGUUUGGGGUGACCUCAGGCAGGCAGAGCUGUGUCCCUGCCUUGGCUGGCAGAGAUCAGCAAGACCAGUGUUGGAGGGGUCAAAGAUUCUUCUUUCACAAUUACACUCAGCUGCAAGCCAAAUCACUACAGAUUUUGGCAAAUUAAUAAAGGCAGAAACAAGCCUUUGCUGUUUCUCAUGAGAUACCUUCUCAGCUGCUCAGGGUGUAAAAGCCACUGCUGCGUAACACUGCAAUAGGAAAUUUUCCCAGCAAUUCCCAGCAGAGGACAGCAAAUCCUAACUCCACAUUUUCUGCCUCAGUUUUUUACAGGAAUCAGCAUCGAGUCCUCUGCUGAGCUCUGUCCAUUCAAAACCACCACACAUCCCCGGGCUGCUUCAACACCCUUCUCACUUUCCCUCCUUGGGAGCUCCAGAGCAGACGAGAGUUUUACAGGGACCAGUAAAGAUUUCUUCUGAUGUUUGUUGUCUUUGGAUGGGCAAGAAAACUUUAAAGGAUUUCUCUCUCUUUUUUUAUUUUUUUAUCCUGUCUUUAUUUUUCUUCCUGAUUUUCUCUGUGAUAAAAAUCAGAGAAUACUGUACAAAUAUAAACUAAAAGUAAAGUCUAAUCUUGCCUGAUUUUGCAGGACUUAAGAAUCUAAGAAGCAUGAACAGAUCUGGGCAGCCAAGUGGGUGUCCCUCUGUAAAUUGGAAGCUGGGGGAAAAGGACAAAACCUGGGCACCAGGGUUUCAGGAUUAGUGCCAGUGGCAGGCUGGGGUUUAUCAGCCAUGAAGAAGUCCCAGUCUGUUACUGAUCCUGGUUUGCGAUAAUUUCUAUCCACUUUAUGACUUCAAACUGGAAACAGUAUCAAGGUGGGGGUUGUAUUACCCAGCUGCUUCCCCCAGGCAGCCCAGCAUCAGCAAGGACAGCCUGUUCCAGCUCCGACCUCUGUAAUCACCGACAGAUCUCCUCCAGACACCCAGGUAUUCCCCCGCCUCCUGCCUGUGCUGCCAGACAGGAACCUCAACGCAAGCUCGAGUCCCAAGCAGCUCAAACUCUGCCCGGCCCCGGAGCCAAGGCGAAGCUCGGCUGCCCUGUCCGGUCCCCUCUCUGCCCACCCGGGCUGACCAAAGGGGGAAAUUCUCCAAGCGAGCGAGUCCCCAGCCGUGCGCUGGAGCAGGAGACAGCCGGCCCCCAUCACACAUGCAAAUGUCCUUCCAUAAUGGAGGGAUGCAGCCCAGCCCCUCCUCGCCUCCCCCUGCACGGAACUCCAAACUCCCCCAGCCCGCGGGUGCGAGCAGGACCCC
This is a long non-coding RNA of Poecile atricapillus (Black-capped chickadee), 3391 nucleotides long. RefSeq lists it as uncharacterized. The record is from RefSeq and is a predicted model, not a curated record. Lineage: Eukaryota; Metazoa; Chordata; Aves; Passeriformes; Paridae. The transcript is spliced from 3 exons.